CCUUGACAUACUAAGAACUUUCCAGAGAUGGAUUGGUGCCUUCGGGAACUUAGAUACAGGUGCUGCAUGGCUGUCGUCAGCUCGUGUCGUGAGAUGUUGGGUUAAGUCCCGNAACGAGCGCAACCCUUUUCCUUAUUUGCCAGCGGGUAAUGCCGAGAACUUUAAGGAUACUGCCAGUGACAAACUGGAGGAGGGCGGGGACGACGUCAAGUCAUCAUGGCCCUUACGGCCAGGGCUACACACGUGCUACAAUGGUCGGUACAAAGGGUUGCUACCUCGCGAGAGGAUGCUAAUCUCAAAAAGCCGAUCGUAGUCCGGAUCGCAGUCUGCAACUCGACUGCGUGAAGUCGGAAUCGCUAGUAAUCGCGGAUCAGAAUGCCGCGGUGAAUACGUUCCCGGGCCUUGUACACACCGCCCGUCACACCAUGGGAGUUUGUUGCACCAGAAGUAGGUAGUCUAACCGCAAGGAGGACGCUUACCACGGUGUGGCCGAUGACUGGGGUGAAGUCGUAACAAGGUAAGCGUAGAUGA
Molecule: ribosomal RNA, 531 nt
Filed under: uncultured bacterium
Lineage: Bacteria
Description: bacterial SSU rRNA
Rfam family: Bacterial small subunit ribosomal RNA
Source: RNAcentral